This 457-nucleotide ribosomal RNA is filed under the name uncultured bacterium. RNAcentral's name for it is "bacterial SSU rRNA". It matches the Rfam family "Bacterial small subunit ribosomal RNA", at positions 1 to 507 of the family's 1533-position model. The record is from RNAcentral.
UCGACGAGUUUGAUCAUGGCUCAGAACGAACGCUGGCGGCAGGCCUAACACAUGCAAGUCGAGCGCCCCGCAAGGGGAGCGGCGCACGGGUGAGUAACGCGUGGGAAUAUGCCCUGGGGCUGGGGAUAACGGCGGGAAACUGCCGCUAAUACCCGGUACGCCAUGAGUGGGAAAGGAGCAAUCCGCCCUGGGAGUAGCCCGCGUUGGAUUAGCUAGUUGGUGUGGUAAGAGCGCACCAAGGCGACGAUCCAUAGCUGGUCUGAGAGGAUGAUCAGCCACACUGGGACUGAGACACGGCCCAGACUCCUACGGGAGGCAGCAGUGGGGAAUAUUGGACAAUGGGGGCAACCCUGAUCCAGCCAUGCCGCGUGAGUGAAGAAGGCCCUAGGGUUGUAAAGCUCUUUCGCACGCGACGAUGAUGACGGUAGCGUGAGAAGAAGCCCCGGCUAACUUCGUG